This 319-nucleotide ribosomal RNA is filed under the name uncultured eukaryote. RNAcentral's name for it is "partial 18S ribosomal RNA". It matches the Rfam family "Eukaryotic small subunit ribosomal RNA", at positions 1470 to 1796 of the family's 1831-position model. The record is from RNAcentral.
CCCUUAGAUGUUCUGGGCUGCACGCGUGCUACAAUGGCGUUUCCAGCAAGUCUGCGAACCCGAGAGGGCCAGCGGAUCUUCGAAUUGGCGUCGUGAUCGGGACAGUCGAUUGCAAUUAUUUGACUCAAACGAGGAAUUCCUUGUAAUCGCGAUUCAUCAUAUCGCGCUGAAUACGUCCCUGCCCUUUGUACACACCGCCCGUCGCUCCUAUCGAUUGAGCGAUCCGGUAAAUGUUUUGGAUUGGUGCCGGGGCGGCUAGCUGCCGGUCGCUACGAAAUUUUGUGAACCUUAUCGCUUAGAGGAAGGAAAAGUCGUAACA